UGGGGAAUAUUGGACAAUGGAGGCAACUCUGAUCCAGCAAUUCUGUGUGUGUGAAGAAGGUUUUAGGACUGUAAAACACUUUUAGUAGGGAAGAAAAAAAUGACGGUACCUACAGAAGAAGCGACGGCUAAAUACGUGCCAGCAGCCGCGGUAAUACGUAUGUCGCGAGCGUUAUCCGGAAUUAUUGGGCUUAAAGGGCAUCUAGGCGGGUAAACAAGUUGAAGGUGAAAACCUGUGGCUCAACCAUAGGCUUGCCUACAAAACUGUAUAACUAGAGUACUGGAAAGGUGGGUGGAACUACACGAGUAGAGGUGAAAUUCGUAGAUAUGUGUAGGAAUGCCGAUGAUGAAGAUAACUCACUGGACAGCAACUGACGCUGAAGUGCGAAAGCGAGGGGAGCAAACAGG
RNAcentral lists this ribosomal RNA (407 nucleotides) under Verrucomicrobiota bacterium. Its description in RNAcentral is "Verrucomicrobia bacterium partial 16S ribosomal RNA". It matches the Rfam family "Bacterial small subunit ribosomal RNA", at positions 355 to 776 of the family's 1533-position model. The record is from RNAcentral. Lineage: Bacteria; Pseudomonadati; Verrucomicrobiota.